CUUCUCAGUCAUGUUGACACUGGUCCACUACCAGGUCAUGUGUCUUCUCAGUCAGGUUGAGACUGGUCUACUACCAGGUCAUGUGUCUUCUCAGUCAUGUUGACACUGGUCUACUACCAUGUCAUGUGUCUUCUCAGUCAUGUUGACACUGGUCUACUACCAGGUCAUGUGUCUUCUCAGUCAUGUUGACACUGGUCUACUACCACGUCAUGUGUCUUCUCAGUCAUGUUGACACUGGUCUACUACCAGAUCAUGUGUCUUCUCAGUCAUGUUGACACUGGUCCACUACCAGGUCAUGUGUCUCCUCAGUCAUGUUGACACUGGUCCACUACCAGGUCAUGUGUCUCCUCAGUCAUGUUGACACUGGUCUACUACCAUGUCAUGUGUCUUCUCAGUCAUGUUGACACUGGUCUACUACCAUGUCAUGUGUCUUCUCAGUCAUGUUGACACUGGUCUACUACCAGGUCAUGUGUCUUCUCAGUCAUGUUGACACUGGUCUACUACCACGUCAUGUGUCUUCUCAGUCAUGUUGACACUGGUCUACUACCAGAUCAUGUGUCUUCUCAGUCAUGUUGACACUGGUCCACUACCAGGUCAUGUGUCUCCUCAGUCAUGUUGACACUGGUCCACUACCAGGUCAUGUGUCUUCUCAGUCAUGU
Molecule: long non-coding RNA, 659 nt
Organism: Oncorhynchus tshawytscha (Chinook salmon)
Lineage: Eukaryota; Metazoa; Chordata; Actinopteri; Salmoniformes; Salmonidae
Source: Ensembl